RNAcentral lists this small RNA (156 nucleotides) under Arabidopsis thaliana (thale cress). RNAcentral's name for it is "ATSL088020". The record is from RNAcentral. Lineage: Eukaryota; Viridiplantae; Streptophyta; Magnoliopsida; Brassicales; Brassicaceae.
AAAAGGCAGUUUCAUUAUGGUGGUAUACCAACCUCCUGUUCUGGAACUUCCAGUUCCAAUCGAAGCAUAUAGAUCCGUAAAUAGAUUUGUAUGUAUAGCCACUUCAGCCGUGCUCGUCCUUUCUCGAAAGUAUCUUUUUUCUGGGAACAUGGUUAA